AGCUCCAAUAGCGUAUAUUAAAGUUGUUGCAGUUAAAAAGCUCGUAGUUGGAUUUCUGAAGAGAUGCCAAUGUCCGCCCUCGUGCGUGUGCAGCGGCGUCUUUUCAUCCUUCUGUUAACGCCUCUUGGCAUUCAUUUGCUGGUGGCGGGCUCAGAUAUUUUACCUUGAGAAAAUUAGAGUGUUUCAGGCAGGCUAGGCCGGAAUACAUUAGCAUGGAAUAAUGGAAUAGGACUUCGGUCUCUUUGUUGGUUUGAGGGACUGCAGUAAUGAUUAAUAGGGAUAGUUGGGGGCAUUAGUAUUUAAUAGUCAGAGGUGGAAUUCUCGGAUUUGUUAAAGACUAACUUAUGCGAAAGCAUUUGCCAAGGAUGUUUUCA
RNAcentral lists this ribosomal RNA (374 nucleotides) under uncultured eukaryote. RNAcentral describes it as "SSU rRNA". It matches the Rfam family "Eukaryotic small subunit ribosomal RNA", at positions 587 to 972 of the family's 1831-position model. The record is from RNAcentral.